This 484-nucleotide ribosomal RNA is filed under the name uncultured bacterium. RNAcentral's name for it is "partial 16S ribosomal RNA". It matches the Rfam family "Bacterial small subunit ribosomal RNA", at positions 29 to 507 of the family's 1533-position model. The record is from RNAcentral.
AUUGAACGCUGGCGGCAUGCUUUACACAUGCAAGUCGAACGGCAGCGCGGGCUUCGGCCUGGCGGCGAGUGGCGAACGGGUGAGUAAUAGAUCGGAACGUGCCCAGUAGUGGGGGAUAGCUCGGCGAAAGCCGGAUUAAUACCGCAUACGACCUGAGGGUGAAAGCGGGGGAUCUUCGGACCUCGCGCUAUUGGAGCGGCCGAUGGCAGAUUAGCUAGUUGGUGGGGUAAAGGCCUACCAAGGCGACGAUCUGUAGCUGGUCUGAGAGGACGACCAGCCACACUGGGACUGAGACACGGCCCAGACUCCUACGGGAGGCAGCAGUGGGGAAUUUUGGACAAUGGGCGAAAGCCUGAUCCAGCAAUGCCGCGUGUGUGAUGAAGGCCUUCGGGUUGUAAAGCACUUUUGGCGGGAACGAAAAGGACUGUGCCAAUACCACGGUUCGAUGACGGUACCCGCAGAAUAAGCACCGGCUAACUACGUG